GUCGAUAUGACUUUUGAGCUC
RNAcentral lists this non-coding RNA (21 nucleotides) under Arabidopsis thaliana (thale cress). Lineage: Eukaryota; Viridiplantae; Streptophyta; Magnoliopsida; Brassicales; Brassicaceae. The record is from RNAcentral.